Molecule: ribosomal RNA, 637 nt
Filed under: uncultured bacterium
Lineage: Bacteria
Description: bacterial SSU rRNA
Rfam family: Bacterial small subunit ribosomal RNA
Source: RNAcentral
GGAUUACCGGUGGCGGAUGGGCAUGCGGCGCAUUAGCUAGUCGGCGGGGUAACGGCCCACCGAGGCGACGAUGCGUAGGGGUUCUGAGAGGAAGGUCCCCCACACUGGUACUGAGACACGGACCAGACUCCUACGGGAGGCAGCAGUGAGGAAUAUUGGUCAAUGGGCGCGAGCCUGAACCAGCCAAGUCGCGUGAGGGAUGACGGUCCUACGGAUUGUAAACCUCUUUUGCCGGGGAGCAAGCGUGCGUUCGUGAACGCGCGUCGAGAGUACCCGGAGAAAAAGCAUCGGCUAACUCCGUGCCAGCAGCCGCGGUAAUACGGAGGAUGCGAGCGUUAUCCGGAUUUAUUGGGUUUAAAGGGUGCGUAGGCGGGAUGCCAAGUCAGCGGUAAAAAUGCGGUGCUCAACGCCGUCGAGCCGUUGAAACUGGCGUUCUUGAGUGGGCGAGAAGUAUGCGGAAUGCGUGGUGUAGCGGUGAAAUGCAUAGAUAUCACGCAGAACUCCGAUUGCGAAGGCAGCAUACCGGCGCCCUACUGACGCUGAGGCACGAAAGCGUGGGUAUCGAACAGGAUUAGAUACCCUGGUAGUCCACGCAGUAAACGAUGAAUGCUAACUGUCCGGCUCGAAUGAGCGCUGG